UGGGGAAUAUUGCGCAAUGGGCGAAAGCCUGACGCAGCGACGCCGCGUGAGGGACGAAGGCCUUCGGGUUGUAAACCUCUUUCAGCAGGGACGAAGCGAAAGUGACGGUACCUGCAGAAGAAGCACCGGCCAACUACGUGCCAGCAGCCGCGGUAAUACGUAGGGUGCAAGCGUUGUCCGGAAUUAUUGGGCGUAAAGAGCUCGUAGGCGGUCUGUCACGUCGGGUGUGAAAGCCCGGGGCUCAACCCCGGGUCUGCACUCGAUACGGGCAGACUUGAGUUCGGCAGGGGAGACUGGAAUUCCUGGUGUAGCGGUGAAAUGCGCAGAUAUCAGGAGGAACACCGGUGGCGAAGGCGGGUCUCUGGGCCGAUACUGACGCUGAGGAGCGAAAGCGUGGGGAGCAAACAGG
RNAcentral lists this ribosomal RNA (409 nucleotides) under uncultured Actinomycetes bacterium. RNAcentral describes it as "bacterial SSU rRNA". It matches the Rfam family "Bacterial small subunit ribosomal RNA", at positions 355 to 776 of the family's 1533-position model. Lineage: Bacteria; Bacillati; Actinomycetota; Actinomycetes. The record is from RNAcentral.